RNAcentral lists this ribosomal RNA (248 nucleotides) under uncultured bacterium. RNAcentral describes it as "partial 16S ribosomal RNA". It matches the Rfam family "Bacterial small subunit ribosomal RNA", at positions 83 to 334 of the family's 1533-position model. The record is from RNAcentral.
CCCAGGCGUCGAGUGGCGGACGGGUGAGUAAUGCUUGGGAAUCUGCCCAAUAGCGGGGGAUAACUCGAGGAAACUCGAGCUAAUACCGCAUACGCCCUACGGGGGAAAGCGGGGGAUCUUCGGACCUCGCACUAUUGGAUGAGCCCAAGUCGGAUUAGCUUGUUGGUAGGGUAACGGCCUACCAAGGCGACGAUCCGUAGCUGGUCUGAGAGGACGAUCAGCCACACCGGAACUGAGACACGGUCCGG